Molecule: long non-coding RNA, 481 nt
Organism: Mesocricetus auratus (golden hamster)
Lineage: Eukaryota; Metazoa; Chordata; Mammalia; Rodentia; Cricetidae
Exons: 2
Source: RefSeq, a predicted model, not a curated record
AGCAGGCGCACCACAGCCUGCUUACAGGGAGACUAAGCCACACAUUGGCGCCAUGUUUGCAGGCUUCCUGUAGAGCAAAACCACCAACGAGAAACGCUAACACAUGGAAAGCGUGGUAUUGAAUGACUGCAGAAGAGGUCUUUGUUUUGAUGAGAAAGCUAACAGCAGAAGGCAGCCAGAGUCUCCUUUGACCUCAGCCAGGACCCAGAAGGACUUCCUGCCUUCACCACUGCUCCCACCUGGAAACCUUGCUCCUGCCUGGGCCCUCUGUCCCCAAGCUGCCCUCUGCCUGCUGCAUCCACAGGUUCUGCCUCACACAGUCGGCCAAGCAGGAGCUAGAACUGCCCUUCGAAGAUGCACCCAGCUACUUCCUUGCUUAAAACUUCCCAGUGGCCUCCCCGUUACUCCAAGCAAAAUCCAAGAUGUCUAGAUGACCUCCAAAACCAUCUGAGUGCUGACCUCUCCUCCCCCGACCCUUUUC